Molecule: ribosomal RNA, 253 nt
Filed under: uncultured prokaryote
Description: partial 16S ribosomal RNA
Rfam family: Bacterial small subunit ribosomal RNA
Source: RNAcentral
UACAGAGGUGCCAAGCGUUGUUCGGAUUUAUUGGGCGUAAAGGGCGCGUAGGCGGUCGUGCGCGUCGGAGGUGAAAUCCCCGGGCUUAACCCGGGAGCUGCCUCCGAUACGGCAUGGCUUGAGUCCGGGAGAGGGGAGCAGAAUUCCCAGUGUAGCGGUGAAAUGCGUAGAUAUUGGGAGGAAUACCGGUGGCGAAGGCGGCUCCCUGGACCGGUACUGACGCUGAGGCGCGAAAGCGUGGGUAGCAAACAGG